AGUUGGGCAGAUUGUCGCUGCGUGUCUAUGAUGGGCACGGAGAGGAAAGUCCGAGCAUCAAAAGAACAUGGUGCCAGUUAACGGCUGGUGAAGGUGACUUCAAGGAUAGUGCAACAGAAAUAGACUACCACGUUUGUGGUAAAGGUGGAAAGGUAGGGUAAGAGCCUACCGGGUGAUUGGUAACAAUCAUUGCUCUGUAAACCCCACUUGAUGCAAGGUUAAGCUUUCGCACAUGUGUGUUCUUUCACGCGAAACAAAAAUACCGCUUGAACUUGUUGGCGACGACAAGUCUGGAAAGAUGACAAUCAAAUACAGAACUCGGCUUAUAACCCAACUG
RNAcentral lists this RNase P RNA (337 nucleotides) under human gut metagenome. RNAcentral describes it as "Bacterial RNase P class A". It matches the Rfam family "Bacterial RNase P class A". From Rfam's summary of the family: Ribonuclease P (RNase P) is a ubiquitous endoribonuclease, found in archaea, bacteria and eukarya as well as chloroplasts and mitochondria. The record is from RNAcentral.